This 253-nucleotide ribosomal RNA is filed under the name uncultured bacterium. Its description in RNAcentral is "partial 16S ribosomal RNA". It matches the Rfam family "Bacterial small subunit ribosomal RNA", at positions 524 to 776 of the family's 1533-position model. The record is from RNAcentral.
GACGUAGGGCGCAAGCGUUGUCCGGAUUUAUUGGGCGUAAAGAGCUCGUAGGCGGCUUGCUGCGUCGUCCGUGAAAACCUGUGGCUCAACUACAGGCUUGCGGUCGAUACGGGCGGGCUGGAGUUCGGUAGGGGAGACUGGAAUUCCUGGUGUAGCGGUGAAAUGCGCAGAUAUCAGGAGGAACACCGGUGGCGAAGGCGGGUCUCUGGGCCGAUACUGACGCUGAGGAGCGAAAGCGUGGGGAGCGAACAGG